RNAcentral lists this ribosomal RNA (253 nucleotides) under uncultured bacterium. Its description in RNAcentral is "partial 16S ribosomal RNA". It matches the Rfam family "Bacterial small subunit ribosomal RNA", at positions 524 to 776 of the family's 1533-position model. The record is from RNAcentral.
UACAGAGGGUGCGAGCGUUAUUCGGAAUUACUGGGCGUAAAGCGCGUGUAGGCGGCCCGGUAAGUCCGCUGUGAAAGUCCAGGGCUCAACCCUGGGAUGCCGGUGGAUACUGUCGGGCUCGAGUCCGGAAGAGGCGAGUGGAAUUCCUGGUGUAGCGGUGAAAUGCGCAGAUAUCAGGAGGAACACCAAUGGCGAAGGCAGCUCGCUGGGACGUGACUGACGCUGAGACGCGAAAGCGUGGGGAGCAAACAGG